This 380-nucleotide long non-coding RNA is filed under the name Manihot esculenta (cassava). RNAcentral describes it as "long non-coding RNA (MESC_LNC000328)". The record is from RNAcentral. Lineage: Eukaryota; Viridiplantae; Streptophyta; Magnoliopsida; Malpighiales; Euphorbiaceae.
AAUGGUUCAUGUGGAAACACAUGAACCUUCAUCACAUACAUAUCACAUAAACAUAUCUCAUGGCAUAUCAUACUUUCAUGCAAGACAGGACUCUACAUCCUAUCCUAGUGGACAUGAUUUCCUAUUGUGCUUGACCUUUCUAUAACAUCUAUGAGCCCGACACUCUAGGUCCGACCAUAUGAACCUAGGGCUCUGAUACCAUUCUGUAACGACCCGGAAACCGGACCGCUACUGGCGCUAGGAUUCAGGUCGGCUUAAGGCCGCCAGAACCCGUAGCAAGCCAAACAUACAUCUUGUGAACCUGUUCAAUCCCAUACAUGAACCAAAACAUACAUAAAAAUUAAAACUUUUCUUUCAUUCAAACAUUUCUUUACCCAGCC